AGAAACACAUUGGGAGGACUUUGUGAAAUAAUUUAUCAUCUAAAGGAGUUUAUAAGAUUGUUGACCGAACAAAUACAUGCAAAGUGAUCGUUGAACCCUAACUUUGGCAAUAUUUCUCAAAUAUUCAAAUCGAACUUUUACCGCAUUGUAUUACCUUUUUAUGCAAGAUAACGUGAUUAAAACCAAAACCUCCUGUGUUACUUAAGUUAAGAUUAAUUCAACCAUCGAACGGCGGUGAUAUCUUACAAUCCCUGUGGAUACGAUAACAAAAACCUGACACUUAAAAUUACAACUAACA
Molecule: long non-coding RNA, 298 nt
Filed under: Lathyrus oleraceus (garden pea)
Lineage: Eukaryota; Viridiplantae; Streptophyta; Magnoliopsida; Fabales; Fabaceae
Description: Pisum sativum (pea) long non-coding RNA (PSAT_LNC027352)
Source: RNAcentral